RNAcentral lists this ribosomal RNA (399 nucleotides) under uncultured bacterium. Its description in RNAcentral is "bacterial SSU rRNA". It matches the Rfam family "Bacterial small subunit ribosomal RNA", at positions 356 to 772 of the family's 1533-position model. The record is from RNAcentral.
UAGGAAUCUUGGACAAUGGGCGCAAGCCUGAUCCAGCCAUGCCGCGUGAGUGAUGAAGGCCUUAGGGUUGUAAAGCCCUUUUACCCGGGCUGAUAAUGACAGUACCGGGAGAAUAAGCCCCGGCUCACUCCGUGCCAGCAGCCGCGGUAAUACGGAGGGGGCUAGCGUUGUUCGGAAUUACUGGGCGUAAAGCGCACGUAGGCGGCUUUGUAAGUUAGAGGUGAAAGCCCGGAGCUCAACUCCGGAACUGCCUUUAAGACUGCAUCGCUCGAACGUCGGAGAGGUAAGUGGAAUUCCGAGUGUAGAGGUGAAAUUCGUAGAUAUUCGGAAGAACACCAGUGGCGAAGGCGACUUACUGGACGACUGUUGACGCUGAGGUGCGAAAGCGUGGGGAGCAAA